Oreochromis niloticus (Nile tilapia) is the source of this 474-nucleotide long non-coding RNA. RefSeq lists it as uncharacterized. The record is from RefSeq and is a predicted model, not a curated record. NCBI's taxonomy places the organism in Eukaryota, Metazoa, Chordata, Actinopteri, Cichliformes, Cichlidae. The transcript is spliced from 3 exons.
AAAAUUAGUAGGUCAUUAGAAAGACUAUAGAUCUUGACUGCAUGCUGAGGUGGCAACCCCUAAACCCUACUCAAAUAAAUGUGGGACAGGAAGCGGAAGGAGCAGCGUUACCUUUUGAAGACUGGCCGAUGCUGUACAGGUGUGUUAUGUCGGGAUUGGAGGUGCUGACCUGCUUGAGGUACUGCUCAAUCUCAUGGUUGUUGUGAUACCGAAACUCCAACGCCCAGGUGGGUGUGAAGAGGAAGAAGGGAGGGAGGAGGAAGAGGAGGAGUGAUAACAUCACUGCAGUAUGACCUGUGGAGGGAAACAAAACGAUUUUUAAAGAUGUUAUACUUCCAGAAGAAAAAACAGCUUUGCUGCUGCAUAAUCCUCUUGUUCCUUGAGAGCCAUACCUCCCACUUAUAAAGUCUCUGCUUGAAAAUAAAGGACUCCAACAUCCUGAAUUUUAAGGAAUUUUGUUAGCAUCACAUCACU